AUGAACACCGCUUAUGAUGGGCUCUCCCUCACAAGUGGUAGCAAAUUCCUGCACGAAAUGGAGGCGCAGAUGUUUUUGUCGCUUCCUGCGCAUAUAUGCCACUUUAGAGUUUCUCUAAAAUUGAAAUCACCAGUCCUCCAGGAUUUUCUCCCAGGCUGUGAGCUCUCCGGCCACACCCGCUCCUUCACCUUUAAGGUAGAGGAAGAGGAUGAUGCGGAGCACGUGCUGGCACUAACCAUACUCUGCCUCACCGAGGAAGCCAAAGACGAGUGUAAUGUGGUAGAAGUUGUGGCCCGGAACCAUGACCAUCAGGAGAUCGCAGUCCCUGUGGCCAACCUCAAGCUGUCCUGCCAACCCAUGCUCAGUCUGCACGACUUCCAGCUCCAACCACCUGUAACCUUCCGUCUGAAGUCGGGCUCUGGCCCUAUGCGGAUCACUGGGCGGCACCAGAUUGUUACGAUGAGCAAUGAUGUUUCCAAGGAGGAGAGCGAGGAACAAGAAGACAGUGACGAGGAAGAAGCUGAGCUGUGCCCCAUCCUUCCUGCCAAAAAGCAGGGGAGCAGGCCCUAGCCCUCCUUGGUCAGCUCCAUGCGCCAUGCACCGCCAUGAACCCUGUUCCCCGAGAAGUUUCAAGAAUUGUAAAUGUUUCUUCCUUGAAGAGGAGAGUUUGGGUGGGGUUUGGGUGGGAGGGACUUGGGUCUUUGGUGCUAGGAGAGGGCCUGUGCUCCACACAGCCCUGGUUUUCUGAUCUUGCACCAUUCUUGGGGUCUCUCUUCUCACCUGUCUGUGAGGAUUAGAAGUUAGUGCCUGAAGCUCAGAACUACACAUUUUUAAUAGUUUUUACAUUUUUGGAUAAAGGUUGAAAUAAAGUGGUGUGGGGUUUUUGCAAAAAAAAAAAAAAAAA
This is an RNA transcript of Rhinopithecus roxellana (golden snub-nosed monkey), 904 nucleotides long. It is a transcript of the gene named nucleoplasmin-3 pseudogene, with no coding region annotated. NCBI's taxonomy places the organism in Eukaryota, Metazoa, Chordata, Mammalia, Primates, Cercopithecidae. The record is from RefSeq and is a predicted model, not a curated record. The transcript has 2 exons.